This 984-nucleotide ribosomal RNA is filed under the name bacterium enrichment culture clone CXCVI. Its description in RNAcentral is "bacterial SSU rRNA". It matches the Rfam family "Bacterial small subunit ribosomal RNA", at positions 505 to 1501 of the family's 1533-position model. The record is from RNAcentral.
GUGCCAGCCGCCGCGGUAAUACGGAGGACCCGAGCGUUAUCCGGAUUCAUUGGGUUUAAAGGGUGCGUAGGCGGCCCGGUAAGUCAGCGGUGAAAGGCUCCUGCUCCACAGGAGAGCUGCCGUUGAUACUGCUGGGCUAGAAUCUUAGCGAGGCGGGCGGAAUGCGCGGUGUAGCGGUGAAAUGCAUAGAUAUCGCGCAGAACGCCGAUUGGGGAGCCAGCUCGCCAGCUGAGUAUUGACGCUGAGGCACGAAAGCGUGGGGAUCGAACAGGAUUAGAUACCCUGGUAGUCCACGCCGUAAACGAUGAUAGCUCGCUCUUGGCCCGCAAGGGUCAGGGGCUUAGCGAAAGCGUUAAGCUAUCCACCUGGGGAGUACGCCGGCAACGGUGAAACUCAAAGGAAUUGACGGGGGCCCGCACAAGCGGAGGAACAUGUGGUUUAAUUCGAUGAUACGCGAGGAACCUUACCCAGGCUCGAACGCCGAACGAAUACGGGGGAAACUUCGUAGCCAGCAAUGGCGGUCGGCGAGGUGCUGCAUGGUUGUCGUCAGCUCGUGCCGUGAGGUGUCGGCUUAAGUGCCAUAACGAGCGCAACCCCUAUCGGUAGUUGCCAGCGGGUCAAGCCGGGAACUCUACCGAGACUGCCAGCGCAAGCUGCGAGGAAGGCGGGGAUGACGUCAAAUCAGCACGGCCCUUACGUCUGGGGCGACACACGUGUUACAAUGGCCGGUACAGAGGGCAGCCACCCAGCGAUGGGGCGCGAAUCUCAAAAGCCGGUCGUAGUUCGGAUCGGAGGCUGCAACCCGCCUCCGUGAAGCUGGAUUCGCUAGUAAUCGCAUAUCAGCCAUGAUGCGGUGAAUACGUUCCCGGGCCUUGUACACACCGCCCGUCAAACCAUGGGAGCUGGGGGGACCUGAAGUGCGUGACCGCAAGGAGCGCCCUAGGGUAAAACCGGUGACUGGGGUUAAGUCGUAACAAGGUAACC